This 1437-nucleotide long non-coding RNA is filed under the name Canis lupus familiaris (dog). Its description in RNAcentral is "lncRNA (ENSCAFG00845006426.1)". The record is from RNAcentral. Lineage: Eukaryota; Metazoa; Chordata; Mammalia; Carnivora; Canidae.
UCUCGGUGACUCCGCCUCGUCCUCCCGCCAGAGCCGGUUCCCGCCCACUUUAUUAUUCUCCAGCGACGAAGUUCUCAGUCUCAGCCAAAGCCCUCCCUACACCUGGGGAGCCCGUAGAAGCCCAAUCUGCGCGGGUGGCAGAUCCGUAUCUCAAAAGAAGUAUCUGUUCUCGCCCUGAGAGCAUUGCUACACGUUCCCUUCUUUCUUAAGAACAUCUUCAAGAAUUCCUCAACAAGAACUUCUUGAACGCACCUGUUGUGUGCAAGGCACCGUGCUGGAUGCUGAAGGGGCUCCGCAUCCUCUGGUCCUGUGGCCAGAGGAGAAACAAGCAGAAGCUAAAAGGCUGUGUUUUGAAGGGCUCUGGUCAACAGGAGAAUGUUGUUAAGUGACAAGUAUUGAGGGAAUCAGGCAAAGUGACUAGAUAGACAAUCUGCCUGUUCAAGAACACCGGAGUAAGGGGGAGCAAAAUGCAUGACCCCCAAAUUUGCACUAUGGCAUGUGGAUUAUUUUGAGCUAAAGGCCAUCAAGACCCAGCAGACUCAAGAAAAACUUUUACCUCUUCCUUAAGUAUCUAAAAGAAUUCGGCUCUGCCUAGAAGAAGAGCUUGCCAGAGACAGAUUUUUAUCUGAAAGACCUAUCCACAUAGUAGGACAAAUAUCUAAUUACUAAACAUUUGCUCUGUUACAGUCCUGUGAAUUAACUUCUUCCCCUUUGAAGGCCAGGCGUCUAUCUUAUUCCUUAGCUCAGGAGGCUAUAUAAUCUUCUACUGUCUGGCUUGACCUUGGCUCUCAUAUUCUAAUGGGCUUUUGGUACAUAAAUAAUUACAUUUGUUUUUUUCCUGCUAAUCUGUCUUAUGUGCAUUUUAAUUAAUAGGCCAGCCAAAAGAAUCUAGAGGCGUAGAGGAAAAAUUUUCCUCCCUUGUAGGAGAAUUCAGAUUUGUACUCCUGUCUCUUGUGAGUUAGGGGAGUGGUAAGGGAAUUCAGAUUUGUACUCCUGUCUCUUGUGAGUUAGGGGAGUGGUAGUCUCUGAAACUCAUCAACACAAGUUUUCCUCGGACAUCUUAGGCCCUCGUCUUCUUACUUUUAACUACAAUGUCUCAAAACCUCUUUAGGUCACUGAACUCUAUAAGAAUCUGAGAAUAGGUACAAACCCACUCACCUUCUAAAUUGUUCAUACAGUUUUAGGAAUUUGUACACCAUUUACAGCCUACUCAUGUGCCUCCUGGGAUCCCACGAACCUCUUGCUAGAAGCCCAUAUUUACAUGGAUUAGGAAUGGUAACAAAGUGUAAAAAAGUCAUAAUGAUAAUAUAAUUAUUUAUUGAUUAAAGUGUAACUCAGGAAAUCCUCACAAUUCUGUGAUAUAGAUGACACUAUUAGUUGUGUUUUAUGGUAAAUCUAAGACAAUAUUUAGCCUACCUUUACAAUUUAGAGAAGUGA